AGUCAGCUGACGAGUCACAAAUAGGACGAGAUGCGUGUCCUGGAU
RNAcentral lists this non-coding RNA (45 nucleotides) under Schistosoma margrebowiei. The record is from RNAcentral. Lineage: Eukaryota; Metazoa; Platyhelminthes; Trematoda; Strigeidida; Schistosomatidae.